RNAcentral lists this ribosomal RNA (253 nucleotides) under uncultured bacterium. Its description in RNAcentral is "partial 16S ribosomal RNA". It matches the Rfam family "Bacterial small subunit ribosomal RNA", at positions 524 to 776 of the family's 1533-position model. The record is from RNAcentral.
UACGGGGGGGGCAAGCGUUGUUCGGAAUUACUGGGCGUAAAGGGCUCGUAGGCGGCCAACUAAGUCAGACGUGAAAUCCCCAGGCUUAACCUGGGAACUGCGUCUGAUACUGGAUGGCUUGAAUUCGGGAGAGGGAUGCAGAAUUCCAGGUGUAGCGGUGAAAUGCGUAGAUAUCUGGAGGAACACCGGUGGCGAAGGCGGCUACCUGGCCCAACAUUGACGCUGAGACCCGAAAGCAUGGGGAUCAAACAGG